CAAAUUGCCAGGACUUGCUUAAUAACUACAGAUUCCCAAAUUUGGUUCCUGCUUUAAACUUAGCACCACUGUAGGACCAGCCAGAGAAAGUGAACGAUUCACCCCUAACUAAUCAACUAGGAUGCCCCACUCUGAGUAGCCACUUCCAGCUUCCCCGUGUCAAUAGCCUCCAAUCAAGUUAAUUGUGGAGGCCCCAAUGAAACCAGUCUGCGCUGUCCAUUGCUGUGGGUCCUGGCUUUCAACAAGGUGUGAUACCCACAGAUGCCCUGUGCCCCCACUGCUCAUGGCUCGUUCAGCCCCUGAAGAUGUGUGGGGAAAAAAAAAAGGAAAGAAAAAGUCGCAAGUGGAAACGGCUUCCCCGGAGCAAGUGCCCGAAGGAACAAGAGAGGGCAGUCCAAGACCGAAACCACAGGUCUUUUGUCGCCUACUCUCAGAAGUGACAUCCUACCACUUUCCUAUGUUCUAUUCUUAGAAACAAGUCACUUAGUCCCGCCCACAUUCAGGGAACCAUAUUACACAAAAUGUAAACACCAAGAUGCAAGGAUAUUGGAGUCCAUCUUAGAGGCUUCCCACCACACAUAGUGUAGUGACUGAUGUUCUUAAUACCCAUUCAAUAAAUUAUUUUAUAUUAUUCUUUCUUCCCUUUUGUCAUUGUUUUUCGAUGUUUUUAAUACCAUUUUCCACAAGAUUGUUUUGAAUUUCCACUGUCCUUUUUUGUUACAUUAAUCGUAUUUUUUUUACUAUGUUCCCAGAGAUAAAUACUGAUGAUACUACUAUAUUUUUUUUAAUUGACCAACUUGGGGUGCCUGGGUGGCCCAGUCAGUUAAGUGUCCCACUCUUGAUCUCAGCUAAGUUCUUGAUCUCAGGGUGGUGAGUUCAAGUGCCACACUGGGCUCCAUGCUGGGCAUGGAGCCUACUUAAAAAAAGGGGGGGGACAACUAUUUCCCUCCUUGAAAUUCUAUUUUAUAAACUUCAUCAUACAACAAGAACAACCCUUUAAAGUGGAUUUGCUUCUCCACCCCUUUAGUCUCUCAUCCCACUGACAUCUUUAAAACACACUCAUAGGCCUCUUUCUCUGCCCUGCCCCAAACAACUCUGUUUUCUUAAAGUAAAUUAGUACUUAUUAGGAUUUCCUUUAGAAAUUGUCUCUUUGUUUGAAGAGUUGUCAUUUGUACUUGUUUUCCUAAGAUGUUUACUGUUAUCCUUCACACACACACACACACACACACACACACACACACACACCACUUGCCAGGUUUGUUUUCCACUAUUUCCUUCUUUUUCCAGUCUCCCAUCUGAAAGUCUCUGUUCUGUUGAUUUGUUUUUACAUUCUUUUAACUUUUUAUUGGGGUAUUAUAACAUCCGGCAACACACAAAUCAAGAGUGAACAAUUUGAUGACUGUUCACAAAGUUAACACCCUCACGUAACCUUCACCAUGUUAGGAAAUAAAAUCUUGCCUGCACUCCAGAAGCUCCACUCAUGUCCCUGCCAAUCUUUACUCCCUUCCUUCACCCAGAAAGAGCCACCAUGCUGACUUUCCAACACAUGGUUUACCUGAUUUCGGAUUUCUAUCAAAGGAAUGGGGCAAUGUUAAUUUCUUUGAGUCUGGCCUCUUUCACUCAACAUUAUAUUUGUGAGAUUGAGCCAUGUAGCUCUAGUUCAUUAAUUUAAAUUAAUAAAUAGCAUUUCCUCAUAUGAAUUACCAUAAUUUAUUUGUCCAUUCCACUCCUGAUGGACAUU
Mirounga angustirostris (Northern elephant seal) is the source of this 1741-nucleotide long non-coding RNA. RefSeq lists it as uncharacterized. The transcript is spliced from 3 exons. Lineage: Eukaryota; Metazoa; Chordata; Mammalia; Carnivora; Phocidae. The record is from RefSeq and is a predicted model, not a curated record.